UACGUAGGGUGCGAGCGUUAAUCGGAAUUACUGGGCGUAAAGCGUGCGCAGGCGGUUCUAUAAGACAGAUGUGAAAUCCCCGGGCUCAACCUGGGAACUGCAUUUGUGACUGUAGAGCUGGAGUACGGUAGAGGGGGAUGGAAUUCCGCGUGUAGCAGUGAAAUGCGUAGAUAUGCGGAGGAACACCGAUGGCGAAGGCAGCUCUCUGGACCGUUACUGACGCUGAGGCGCGAAAGCGUGGGGAGCAAACAGG
RNAcentral lists this ribosomal RNA (253 nucleotides) under uncultured bacterium. RNAcentral describes it as "partial 16S ribosomal RNA". It matches the Rfam family "Bacterial small subunit ribosomal RNA", at positions 524 to 776 of the family's 1533-position model. The record is from RNAcentral.